CUAGAGACGAGAAAGGGUGUAGUAAGCGACAAAAUGCUUUGGGGAGUUGAAAAUAAGCGUAGAUCCAGAGAUUCCUGAAUAGGUCAACCUUUUGAACUGCUGCUAAAUCCAUGAGCAGACAAGAGAUAACCUAGCGAACUAAAACAUCUUAGUAGCCGAAGAAAAAGAAAGCAAAAGCGAUUCCCGUAGUACCGGCGAGUGAAAUGGGAGCAAUCACGUCCGUUUCCCUUACUCGUCUAG
Gossypium hirsutum (cotton) is the source of this 240-nucleotide non-coding RNA. Lineage: Eukaryota; Viridiplantae; Streptophyta; Magnoliopsida; Malvales; Malvaceae. The record is from Rfam.